GGGAAUCUACCCUUGGGUUCGGAAUAACAGCGGGAAACUGCUGCUAAUACCGGAUGAUGACGAAAGUCCAAAGAUUUAUCGCCCAGGGAUGAGCCCGCGUAGGAUUAGCUAGUUGGUGAGGUAAAGGCUCACCAAGGCUACGAUCCUUAGCUGGUCUGAGAGGAUGAUCAGCCACACUGGGACUGAGACACGGCCCAGACUCCUACGGGAGGCAGCAGUAGGGAAUAUUGGACAAUGGGGGCAACCCUGAUCCAGCAAUGCCGCGUGAGUGAUGAAGGCCUUAGGGUUGUAAAGCUCUUUUACCCGAGAUGAUAAUGACAGUAUCGGGAGAAUAAGCUCCGGCUAACUCCGUGCCAGCAGCCGCGGUAAUACGGAGGGAGCUAGCGUUGUUCGGAAUUACUGGGCGUAGAGCGCACGUAGGCGGCGAUUUAAGUCAGAGGUGAAAGCCCGGGGCUCAACCCCGGAACUGCCUUUGAGACUGGAUUGCUUGAAUCCUGGAGAGGUGAGUGGAAUUCCGAGU
This 520-nucleotide ribosomal RNA is filed under the name uncultured bacterium. RNAcentral's name for it is "bacterial SSU rRNA". It matches the Rfam family "Bacterial small subunit ribosomal RNA", at positions 120 to 674 of the family's 1533-position model. The record is from RNAcentral.